AACGGCCACUGGGGGUGCCGGUCAAAACCGGCUGAGAGGGAGAGUUCUCCCAACCCUUUGAACCUGAUCCGGGUAAUACCGGCGUAGGGAAAGUGGGGUAACUGGAAG
Molecule: non-coding RNA, 108 nt
Filed under: Carboxydothermus hydrogenoformans
Lineage: Bacteria; Bacillati; Bacillota; Clostridia; Thermoanaerobacterales; Thermoanaerobacteraceae
Also listed under: 1 other name
Description: TPP sequence
Rfam family: TPP riboswitch aptamer (THI element)
About the family: Vitamin B(1) in its active form thiamin pyrophosphate (TPP) is an essential coenzyme that is synthesised by coupling of pyrimidine and thiazole moieties in bacteria.
Source: RNAcentral